UUCGAUUCUGGCUCAGAUUGAACGCUGGCGGGAUGCUUUACACAUACAGUCGAACGGCAGCACGGACUUCGGUCUGGUGGCGAGUGGCGAACAGGUGAGUAAUGUAUCGGAACGUGCCCUAGUAGCGGGGGCUAACUACGCGAAAGCGUAGCUAAUACCACAUACGCCCUUCCAGGGAAAGCGGGGACGCUGGGCCUGCACUAUUCGACUUGGCCGGCCUAUCCGGAUUGGCUAGUUGGUGAAUGGCUGGCUCACAAGGCGACGAUCAACGCUGGUUUGAGAGGACGACCAGCCACACUGCGGGACUGAGACACGGCCCAGACUCCUACAGAGGAGGCAGCAGUGGGGCACGGACAAUGGGAAACCUGAUCCAGCCGCUCCCGCGUGUGCGAUGAAGGCCUUCGGGUUGUAAAGCACUUUGGCAGGAAAGAAACGGCACGGGAUAAUACCCCGUGCAACUGACGGUACCUGCAGAAUAAGCACCGGCUAACUACGUGCCAACAGCCGCGGUAAUACGUAGGGUGCAAGCGUUAAUCGGAAUUACUGGGCGUAAGCGUGCGCAGGCGGUUCGGAAAGAAAGAUGUGAAAUCCCAGAGCUUAACUUUGGAACUUUGCAUUUUAACUACCAGCUGAAAUUGUGCAGAGGGAGGUGGAAUUCCGCGUGUAGCAGUGAAAUGCGUAGAUAUGCCGGAGGAACACCGAUGGCGAAGGCAAUAUCCUGGGAUACUGACGCUCAUGCACAGCAAUGCGGGAGCAAACAGGAUUAGAUACCCUGGUAGUCCACGCCCUAAACGAUGUCAACUAGCUGUUGUUGGGGCCUUCGGCCUUGGUAGCGCAGCUAACGCGUGAGAUUGACCGCCUGGGAGAUACAGUCGCAAGAUUAAAACUCAAAGGAAUUGACGGGGACCGCACAAGCGGUGGAUGUGGAUUAAUUCGAUGCAACGCGAAAAACCUUACCUACCCUUGACAUGUCUGGAAUCCCGAAGAGAUUUAGAGUGCUCGCAAGAGAACCGGAACACAGGUGCUGCAUGGCUGUCGUCAGCUCGUGUCGUGAGAUGUUGGGUUGGUCCGCAACAGCGCAACCCCUUGUCAUUGGUGCUACGAAGAAGGGCACUCUAAUGAGACUGCCGGUGACAAACCGGAGGAAGGUGGGGAUGACGUCAAGUCCUCAUGGCCUUAUGGGUAGGGCUUCACACGUCAUACAAUGGUCGGGACAGAGGUCGCCAACCCGCGAGGGAGCUAAUCCAAACCCGAUCGUAGUCGGAUCGCAGUCUACAACAACUCGACUGCGUGAAGUCAGAAUCGCUAGUAAUCGCGGAUCAGCAUGUCGCGGUGAAUACGUUCCCGGGUCUUGUACACACCGCCCGUCACACCAUGGGAGUGGGUUUACCAGAAGUAGUUAGCCUAACCGUAAGGAGGGCGAUUACCACAGUAGGAUUCAUGACUGAGGAGUGAAGUCGUAACAAGGUAA
RNAcentral lists this ribosomal RNA (1471 nucleotides) under uncultured Bordetella sp. Its description in RNAcentral is "partial 16S-23S ribosomal RNA intergenic spacer". It matches the Rfam family "Bacterial small subunit ribosomal RNA". The record is from RNAcentral. Lineage: Bacteria; Pseudomonadati; Pseudomonadota; Betaproteobacteria; Burkholderiales; Alcaligenaceae.